This 1725-nucleotide ribosomal RNA is filed under the name marine metagenome. Its description in RNAcentral is "bacterial LSU rRNA". It matches the Rfam family "Bacterial large subunit ribosomal RNA", at positions 181 to 2124 of the family's 2925-position model. The record is from RNAcentral.
AACGAAGGGAACUGAAACAUCUAAGUACCUUUAGGAAAAGAAAUCAACCGAGAUUCCGUAAGUAUUGGCGAAAGAAAGCGGAGGAGACAAAUCAACGAAUAAAACAACCAGAACAAGGUGGAAUCCUUGACCAAAGAUGGUGAAAGUCCAGUAUUUUUGUAUAUCGUUGAUAGUAAGUAAAACAAUUCAUCUUGUUUGAACUUGAGGAGGCCCACCUUCUUUGUCUAAAUAUGUGUUGAGACCGAUAGUGAACAAGUACCGUGAGGGAAAAGUGAAAAGAACCCUAUACAAGGGAGUGCAACAGAUCCUGAAACUUAAAACAUCCAAUCAGUUAAAGCAUCUGCACGAUGUUUUAGCGUACCUUUUGCAUAAUGGGUCAGUGAGUAAAUGAAUUCAGCUUGCUUAAGCGACAACGUGGAGGCGAAGCAAACGCGAGUACAAAGAUGUGCGCCCAGUUGGAUUCAUUUGACCCGAAACUAAGUGAUCUACCUAUGAGCAGGUUGAAGAAAGCGUAAUUUCUUUUGGAGGACCGAACCGACGUCUGUAGCAAUAGGCGCGGAUGACUUGUUGGUAGGGGUGAAAGGCCAAUCAAACUUAGAGAUAGCUGGUUCUUCGCGAAAUUUAUUGAGGUAAAGCGUUUGAUUUUGUUCAAAAGGGGUAGAGCACUCAUGAAGCUAUGGGGGUCCAAAGCCUUACUGAUCUUCCUGAAACUCCGAAUACUUUAUGAUCGUAAAUCAAACAGACAGACUUAAAGUGCUAAGGUUUUAAGUCAAAAGGGAAACAGCCCAGACUAUUUGCUAAGGUCCUUAAACAAUAAGUAAGUGGUAAAAGAAGUUUUUAUCCAAUGACAACUAGGAAAUUGGCUUGGAAGCAGCCAUUUUAUAAUGAAAGCGUAAUAGCUCACUAGUCAAGGAUAGAAGCGCUGACAAUGUAUCGGGGCUCAACUUAUUUACCGAAGCAAUAGAGAAAAGGUAGCGAAGCGUUUUGUAAACCGAUGAAGGUAUUUUGUGAAAAAUAUUGAAGGAUUCAAAAGUGAGUAUACUGACAUGAGUAACGUAAAAAUCAUGUGAAAAUCAUGAUCGCCGUAAGUUCAAGGGUUUCUGCGAUCUGGAAGUCAACGCAGAGUGAUUCGGCUUCUAAAUUUACUGUGAUUACAGUUAAAUGAUGAAUAUAUGGGAACUGACAAAUGGGGUACGUAUUUUUAUCAAACCGGAUAGAUAAAAAUACGUACCCCAUUUCAGGAAAAGGUCCUAUUUACUCGAAACCGUACCCAAAACCAACACUGGUGAACAAGUCGAAUAGACUCAGGCGUUGAGAUAACCAUGCUGAAGGAACUCGGCAAAAUAUUCCCGUACCUUAGGAAGAAGGGAAACCAAUAUUUAUUGGUGACACAAAAUUGAGGGUGACGACUUUUUACUAAAAAAUUAGGACUCUGCAAAAUGGUAACAUGAAGUAUAGGGUCUGACGUCUGCCCGGUGCUAGAAGCUUAAGAGGAGACUUGGAAGAGUUGAAUUGAAGGCCUAGUAAACGGCGGUUGUAACUAUAACAAUCAUAAAGUAGCGAAAUUCCUUGCCAGCUAAUUCCUGGCCUGCAUGAAAGACGUAACGAUUGCCCUACUGUCUCCAGCAUGGACUCAGUGAAAUUGAAUUUUCCGUGAAGAUGCGGAAAUCGUGCCCCAAGACGAGAAGACCCUAUGCAUCUUUACUAUACAUGUACAUUGAACAA